AAGGAAAUCUGUUCAAUAUUCAUGGUGCUGUUUCUACUAACCCUGAUGCUGAGAAUACCAAGCAGCAUGGAAAGCUGUUUUUUCCUUGCAAAGAAGUUGAAGACAACUUUGCCAAGAACUCUCUUUCAGAUGUGGUGCAAGGUUCACACAUCAGGCCAAAGUUUUACCACCUCAUGAUUCUGGAAUCUGGCACACAGGAUGUCCCUAAGUUGGAUGGCUUUGCCUGCAGCUUUCUUCUUGCAUCACCAGAUGCGCUCAAUUACUCUGAUCUUUAUGGAGCUGUGCUUUCACUGCUGUGGAUUGGAGCUCAAUGUGAUGCAGUAGAACGGCCUUCCGAUAGCCCUAAGCUCUCAUACCUGG
This is a long non-coding RNA of Rhipicephalus microplus (southern cattle tick), 360 nucleotides long. The record is from RefSeq and is a predicted model, not a curated record. NCBI's taxonomy places the organism in Eukaryota, Metazoa, Arthropoda, Arachnida, Ixodida, Ixodidae.